Molecule: long non-coding RNA, 616 nt
Organism: Falco peregrinus (peregrine falcon)
Lineage: Eukaryota; Metazoa; Chordata; Aves; Falconiformes; Falconidae
Exons: 2
Source: RefSeq, a predicted model, not a curated record
CAGAGAGAAGACGACUCAGGAGCUCACUCCUGGGAACGUGCAGCAGUCUUCCCCACACACAGCUAGAAACCAUCCUACUAAAGGUGGUGAGAUGGGAUAGGAACGGGGCAGGUUUAGCACUGACAAGUUACCUUGAGUGGUCCUAAACCCCACGACCGUGGCUCCGAACUCUAAUCAGCGAGAUCUGAAUGUAUCACGCCAGCAGCCAAGACUAACGUUAAUAUUUUUUUGUUCAUUAUUGAGUUUUGCACAUUAAUACACUGUUUAUGACGAUCAGUGCCCCCUUCUGCUGCUGAUGCCUAUGCAGGCAGAUCACAAACGUGCUUGUCUUAAUAUUGGUGACUAUUAUCACUUCACAAACUUUGUAAAUGUACCUUUCAUCCACAGGGUGACAAAAUUCGGAUGGAAGCAUAUAUCCUGCUCUGUGCUUCCAUCACCUGUGGGCCUUGGCACCUGAGCUCUCUUUGCAAUUGCACAAUGCUAGUUAGAAAAUCUCCAAGGAACCCCAAAACCCCUGUGGCAGGGACACCAGCAAACAAGAUGAAUGGAUGGCCAGAUACGUUACCAUCUUCAGGUUAUGUGCGCUGAAGAAGAGGGGAGGCCAAGCCCAGUUCAA